Gossypium raimondii (Peruvian cotton) is the source of this 145-nucleotide non-coding RNA. The record is from Rfam. Lineage: Eukaryota; Viridiplantae; Streptophyta; Magnoliopsida; Malvales; Malvaceae.
UAUUAAAAAUUUGAUCCAUUCAUAAUGUUAAAAACUAACGUGACUGAUGAAAUAUCCAUACAAUGACAUGUGGCGUGUCACAUGUACCUCAUGCUAAGGUAUAGUGACCGGCUUUUAAUAGUAGAAAUGAAUAAAAUUUUUAAUA